Long non-coding RNA from Dermacentor silvarum, 298 nucleotides. RefSeq lists it as uncharacterized. The record is from RefSeq and is a predicted model, not a curated record. The transcript is spliced from 3 exons. NCBI's taxonomy places the organism in Eukaryota, Metazoa, Arthropoda, Arachnida, Ixodida, Ixodidae.
GUAUGUGUGCGGGUUGCGCAAUGUGUUUACUGCGUUUUCUGUGCCCUUUGCCUCGCUGUGACAUCUUUGGUAUAUUCCAACUUGUUGCUCGCUCUUUAUGGGCUACACGUUGCCUCGAAGAUCACCAUGAUCGCCUCCGACUCAGCCACAUCGAAGAAUCAAAAUGAGCCUGGAGACACCACAGCCGGAAUGCGAAAGGUUGGAGAAGUGCUCAUUCAGAUGAUCCUGGCACAGCUUGCCAUGGUGGACCAGGCAAAUUUGCAAGGGCCUUGAUUCACCAUGUGUUCACAAAAAAAAA